UGAGAAGCUAGGAUUACAGGCAUGUACCAACAUGCCUAGCUUUAGUUCAUGUUCUUGAAUUCAGGUUCAAAAUUUGAAUUUUUGCUGGGUACAGUGGUGCACACUUAUAGCCUCAGCAACUUCGUGAGGCCCUUACCAACCUAGUGAAAUUCUGUCUCAAAAUAAAAAAUAAUAAGGGAUAGGGUUGUGGCUCAGUGGUUAAGUGCCCCUUAGCUAAUCCCUGGCACAAUAAAUAAAUAAAUAAAUAAUUCUUGCCUGCCAAACCUAGAAAACUUCAUUUUUCCUUUAUGGGAAAAUGAGUGAAAGGCACAGAUUUAUUAUGAAGAUAGUUUUAACUGGAAUCCUGAAGAGCCUUAGGUUUCCAAAGGUGCACUGCUGGUGAAAGAAAUCAUAUUUACCCCAAAGGUAUGUGGAGUUGCUUGAGGUAAACAGUGUGAUCAAACAGGCAGUGAGCUGUCUUCAGGUAAAGGUAAACCUGCCCUGGUUACCAGUUUCAGCUCCAUCUCAUCAUCCCCAACACCCUUUACUCUGGCUGUGCCAAGUACACCAUGCUGUCUUCAUUCAUGAGUGAAGACUGAGCCCCUACUUUUCCAGUAUUUUACUGUCCACAGUGUCCCUUAAAGUUCCCUGUAAAGCUUUGCUGUCCUUACCAGGCAGAGUUAGGGGCAUCGUUAUCUGUACUUCAGAGUUCUUAGAACAUAAUAUUUAUUUAGGUAAUUUUUGCCUUGCUGUCAUUUGCUUUCUGACUGAAAUCCUCAAGAGCACUGUGAUCUACACAGUGGUAAAAAUAUGCAUUCUAAUCAUCUGUACCCCAUUGAAUGAUAUUGUACUCUAAACACUAAGUAAGUAUGUGAAUGGAGAUUCCCAUGAUUGACAGAAUCCAUCAGUACCUAAUGAUACUCAUGUUAGCAUUGGGCGAACUGCUGGGCAAAAGGGGUGCUUCUGAUAAAAUCCUGUAGUUAAAAGACAAUAGGGAGAGGAGUGACUGUCUGUUACAGGGUAGUUUUUGACAGGCUUGUGGGUAUCUUCCCUUGGAGAGGAGGGCACUUACCAUCAAAGAUCUUAUCCUAUAGCAUUAACUUUUUCAUCCUCUUUCACAGGUGGCUGAAUUAUGAAAAACUAGAAAAUUACGUUUUUGUUGUUGUUAUUUGUUUUGUUUUGUUUCUUGCUCUUAGUUUGGUCGUUCUAAAUAGCUGGCAGUGCUUUUCUAAUGGAAGGCAGUAAAGUGUAAUGGUUUUUAAGCCCUACACACCAUAUUUUAAAUACCUGCCCCACUUAAAUCGUUGUGGGGCUUUACACAAGUCAAUCAGACUCUCCAAUUUUGUUUCUUCAGCUAUAAAAUAUAGCUAGUAGCCUUUCUGUACCAUCCCACAAGGUCCAACUUAACUCUUUCUCUUUAUUAAAAAAAAAAAGAAAAAAGUAGUUGAGAGGUACUCAAGGAUUAAGCACAGUGUGAUAGCCAAGAAUAUAUCUACAGUCAAGAAGUUCCAAAUUGUUUUGAGUCCUUCUUAACUGUUCCUUGACUUUCUGCUUUUGUGUUUUGGGUAACUGUAGUGUAUUGGCUUUAGACUAGAGUUCAUUUAAAAUUAAUAUUUGAAAGCUGGUAUAUGCCUGGGAGGC
This 1620-nucleotide long non-coding RNA is filed under the name Marmota monax (woodchuck). The record is from RNAcentral. Lineage: Eukaryota; Metazoa; Chordata; Mammalia; Rodentia; Sciuridae.